Molecule: ribosomal RNA, 253 nt
Filed under: uncultured bacterium
Lineage: Bacteria
Description: partial 16S ribosomal RNA
Rfam family: Bacterial small subunit ribosomal RNA
Source: RNAcentral
UACGUAGGGCGCAAGCGUUGUCCGGAAUUAUUGGGCGUAAAGAGCUCGUAGGUGGCGUGUCGCGUCUGCCGUGAAAGCCCAUGGCUUAACUGUGGGUCUGCGGUGGAUACGGGCAGGCUGGAGGCUGGUAGGGGCAAGCGGAAUUCCUGGUGUAGCGGUGAAAUGCGCAGAUAUCAGGAGGAACACCGGUGGCGAAGGCGGCAUCCUGGACCGGGAUUGACACUGAGGCGCGAAAGCCAGGGGAGCAAACGGG